RNAcentral lists this long non-coding RNA (4426 nucleotides) under Canis lupus familiaris (dog). RNAcentral's name for it is "lncRNA (ENSCAFG00000056678.1)". Lineage: Eukaryota; Metazoa; Chordata; Mammalia; Carnivora; Canidae. The record is from RNAcentral.
AUGAGACUGACCUACCCAUCACCUGAUGGGGGGUUUUUACUGUAUCAUCUUUAUGCUAUGAGUGGGGAAACCGAGGCCCUAAGAGAUUGCGUGACUUGUUCAAAUCACUUGCCUGCUUUGCGGCAACCCAAGAUUCGAACCAUGCCGUCAGGGCCUGACUCCUGCCCCCGCCAGGCGCCUCGGAGCGGGGCACACGUGCUCUUCCUGCGUCCCACGCGUCAACAAUUCCCUGCGUGGCUCCGGGUGGUGGGUCGCGGUCUCUAUCGUGUGGGCUGGGGAGGCGCAGGCGAACCAGAGCUGGCUUGGGGCCAACAGCCUCUACGCUAUGCCAAGCUGACAUACCAGGACGAACAGCGGGCAGGACCAGACUGGCCUGCAGCAACAGGAAAUCAGUGCAUGUGUGAUUUUCACCUAGAGCCCACAACAGGAAAAUGUAUGAAUCCUUCUCCUUCUGGUCCCAUCUCUUCCAUCUGGCUGCAGAGCAGGACUCAGUUUGGGAAGCCAGAAGGAAUGAUAGAGUUGUCUGGGGAAGGAAGGUCACGUCAACAAGUGUACUGACUUGAGAGCUCCUGUCACGUUGCUGCCAGAUUCCUCUCCAGCUGGAGUGCCAUCAGCCCCGUUCCAGGGCAUCUGUUCUCCCGCAGCCCCAUCUCAACAGGGUUUCAUUUUUAUGUAUUUUGGUUUGUGUAAUGGUACCUUGGAAUUAUUUCACUGAUAUUUUUAAAUUGCUAAUGAGGUUCUGUGAGGAUUCAAUUAGAUGAUAUGCAGAGAGGUCAGAGCACAGAGCCCGGCAUAUAGGGCAUUAAUAUUACUAUUGAUAGUUACUGAGUAAAAAAAUUAAAUAUUGACCUUAUAUUUGGGUUUUUUCUUUUUUUUUUUAAAGACUUAUUUAUUUUAGAGAGAGAACACGAGUGGAGGGAAGGGCAGGGGAGGGAAAAUCUCAAAGCAGACUUCCUGCUAAACUCAGAGCCCCAAAUGGGGCUCGAUCCCAUCACCUGGAGAUCAGGACCUGAGCCAAAACAAAGAGUUGGAUGUCCAACCGAUUGAGCCACCCAGGCACCCGUUUGUGUUUUUUCUUAUGUGUCUGUUUUGUUUCUCUCUCUCUCUCUCUUUUAAAAGAUUUUAUUUCUGUGACACACACACAGAGAGAGAGAGAGAGAGAGCAUGCACACAAGCAAGGGGAUCGGUGGGGAGAGAUGCAGGCUCCCACUGAGCAGGGAGCCCAACGUGGCGCUCAAUCCUAGGACCCUGGGACCAUGACCUGAGCCAAAGGCAGAUGCUCAACCGACUGGGCCACCCAGGUGCCCUGGUUGCUUCUCUUUGUCUACAUGGUAGCGCCUUCUCAAUCUGCAUGCUGCCUCCUGGCUCGGGCCGAUUAGUAAUUUCAUUCCGUCCUGUGUCCUUACUACUGUCCAUGUGCCAGCAGAACACACUCCUAUCUCUAGCCUGGACUUCUCUCCUGUUCUCCAAACACACCUAACUGCCUACUCAACGUCUCCUCUUGGAUGUGGCAUCUCACACUUCAUAACCUCCAGAGCUGAGCUCCUGCUCCCCACUGCACCUGCUCCUCCCACGGCCUUUUUCCAUCUCAGUGAACAGCAACCAUCCUUGCAGGUGCUCAAGUUAAAGACUCUUGAGUCUUCCUUCACUCAUUCUUUCCCUCUCUCGCUUCACAUCCCCGGCCUCCAAAUCCAUUGGCCACCAUCUUCAAAAUAUAUCCAGAAUCCAGCCACUUGUCACCACCCUGGCCAAGACACCACCAUCUCUCACCUGCAAAAACCAGUCUCCCUGGUUGUACACUUGUGCAUCCUCAGCUUUUCAGCCCUUUGGCCCUCCUCCUGCUCAUGUCCCAGCUCUGGUUGUGGUCCUGCCUUUGUGGUGAAGCUGCAGCAGCAGAAGACUCUUAUUUAGAGCAACAAACCAUCUGCAGAAAGCAGAGUUCCCUUCACCUGCCCAUCCCUAAACCAGCCCGCGGCAAGAGGGACAGAUCACUAGACUGACCUGGACAAAUCGGGAUCACCCCUGAGCAGCGUUUGGGACCAGCGUUAUCUUUUCUGACAAGUAGACUCCUGAGCAGCAGUGAGGCUCCGAUUGUUGAGGAAUAAAUGGGGAACAGAAGUUGGGUGAACACCCGAACAGAGUCUGUCACCACGUGGGAGGUCAGAGAGUCAAUAAGAGAGGCCACUUACUUUUCUGGGCUGCCUAGUGUGGGUGGCCCCAGGCCCACAGGCCUUGACCAUAUAUAUCCAAGCAGGGACAGGGAUGUGACAGGGAACUUGGGUCUGUUUCUGCCAAUGGGAGAUUUCCACCUUUGGGGGGCCCUUUAUUUUGGGUUAAUGGAAGAAGGCACAUAACAGUGUUUGUAUCCUCGGGCUGUGUAACAACCACACACUGGGGCUUGAAACAACACGAGUUUACCCUCUCUCAGCUCUGGAGCCUAGAAGGCAGAAAUCAAGGUGUUGCCAGGGCCAUGCUCUCCUGAGGCGCUAGGGAAAGUCAGCUCCGUGCCUAUUUCUUAGCUCCUUGGCAUUUCAUGGCUUAUGACUGCAUCACUCCUGCCUUGACCUCUCUUGUCACAUGGCCUCCUCCCUGUAUGUCCCUGUGUCUCUUCAUGUGAGGACGGAGCCAUAUUGAGUUAAGGACCCACCCUACCCUAGUAUGACCUUGUCUUAACUGAUUACUUUACAGCUACCCUAUUUCUAAGUAAGGCCACCUUUUAAGGUCUGGGGGUUAGAAUUUCAACAAAUCUUUUUGGGGGACACGAGUGAACCCCUAACACUUAUAUUUACAGUAUUAAUUAGAACCUAAUUUUUCUUCAUUUCUUCCUUUCUGAUCUGAUUGUCCUUUCUUUCAUUUUCUUGCCUGACUGAUUAGAACCUCUAGGCAUUUGUAACUAUAAGUUUCCCUCUAAGUCCUGCAUAGCUGCAUCCCAUACAUUUUGGUAUGUUGUGCCGAAUUUUCUUCAGAAACUAUUGUGUGUUGAGGCUUGACUUGAAUUUGCUAUGUCAGUAUUAAUAGCUGAAAUUUUGAAGAUCUGUUCCUCACCUCCCUUCCUUUCUCCCUCCCUCCCUCCCUCCUUUCCUUUAACUCACCUUUAAAAAGUAAAGGUCAUUUACUGGAGAGUUUAAUAAACUAGUAGCUACAGAUCAAGAAUUAAACAGUGUUUAAAAAGAGAGCAUAAGGACAUUGUGUAUUAAUGUCCUCUGUUUUGUUUUAGUUGUUCAUGCCUGGGUUAUGUCUUUACCAUUGGUACUAAUGGGACCAAAGCUUGAUCCCACUGCACACAUCCUGUCAGAACCCAAAUUACAGACGCCAUGCUUAGGAGGAAGCAGCCACCACAGACUGUAUAAUCUUAAGACAAUAUGUGAAAUUUGCAUUUUUCAUUUCAGUGCACUACUGUUUUAUGUUUUAUCUGUAAGCCGGCAACUUUUUGUCUAGUUAAUCACUUUCAUUUUACAGAACCAUUUUUAAGACCCGUGGGUGGAAUUAACUCAAUGAUGUAGUGUUUAUAUUCUUCAGCUUCCUAGGGACUGGAAGAGCCAAAGGCUGAACAGGGAAGCAUCACAAUGUUUCCCCAUGAAAAAGAUGCCUUUCUUCACCUCCCUUCAGCUUGCUCCCCCAACACCCGCACCACUGUGGCACCAAUGCUUUUCCAGUUUACAAGCAUCGGCUCCCUCUCUCCAGCAAAGUCCUCCAAAUCCCUAAUUAUGGAUCAGGAACUGGCACCCUCCCCUGCCUUCUCUCCUGAGGGAAAGGUGAUUCUGCGUCUCACUGAGUUCACUGCAGGAAAACCUGACAUUGAGGUGAGAAUUUCUCCGACUGCAUCUCCUUGCAUAGCAACACCCCUUGGCACAAACUCACCAGGGAUGUCCAGCCCCCCGCACUUCCACCAGGAGUAUUUAUAGACUGUUUUCACAGCUCCCCUCCCCUCUCGGGCUGUGCAGGGAAGUUGGCCUUUUGGAGCUUGCUCCUCCUUCUAGCCUGUCCAGGCGGAGGCUAGAAAUCUGCCACUUGGGGGCAGAGGAUGGCACUGGGCAUGAGUCUACUCACAAUAGCCUGCAGCCAGAAUCAGUCCAAAUAAAAAGUCAGACGUCUCUUGCCGCCACCUCGCCCAGACCUCAUGGUCUUGCCAUUGGCAGAGCAUCCCCCGGCCUGCUGCUUGAGCAGCUGCUAAGGGGCUGGUCCUCUCACCUGCCUCUGCAGGAGACCAUUAGCAGGCUGCUGGUAGCUGAGGCUCCGGGUGCUGAUACAGGCUGCGCUCAGAGCUGCCCGCCAGCCCAUCGAUUGUGGGUUCACCGGGAUGCUUUCUGACCUUUCAAGGUUGGUGAAGACUCAGCAGUUGCAUACAGUUCUGUUAUUAAAUGUUUUGAUCCUGAGUGUGGUUUAUCGUCUUGUAAUUCAGAGGACAAAAGGGACAGUAAGUAGC